This 324-nucleotide ribosomal RNA is filed under the name uncultured eukaryote. Its description in RNAcentral is "partial 18S ribosomal RNA". It matches the Rfam family "Eukaryotic small subunit ribosomal RNA", at positions 1470 to 1796 of the family's 1831-position model. The record is from RNAcentral.
CCCUUAGAUGUUCUGGGCCGCACGCGCGCUACACUGAUGCAUUCAACGAGUUUCUUCCUGGUCCGAGAGGAAUGGGUAACCUUUUGAAAGUGCAUCAUGAUAGGGAUAGACUAUUGCAAUUAUUGGUCUUCAACGAGGAAUUCCUAGUAGACGUAGUUCAUCAGACUGCAUCGAUUACGUCCCUGCCCUUUGUACACACCGCCCGUCGCUCCUACCGAUUGAAUGCUCAGGUGAGCCAUUCGGACCUUCAUCAUGCCGGUUUCCGGUUUUGAUGAGGGAAAGUCUUGCGAACCUUAUCAUUUAGAGGAAGGAGAAGUCGUAACA